This 1037-nucleotide ribosomal RNA is filed under the name Candidatus Ornithobacterium hominis. Its description in RNAcentral is "partial 23S ribosomal RNA". It matches the Rfam family "Bacterial large subunit ribosomal RNA", at positions 1873 to 2925 of the family's 2925-position model. The record is from RNAcentral. Lineage: Bacteria; Pseudomonadati; Bacteroidota; Flavobacteriia; Flavobacteriales; Weeksellaceae.
AAGGUUAAGGGAGGAGGUUAGCGUAAGCGAAGCUCUUGAUCGAAGCCCCAGUAAACGGCGGCCGUAACUAUAACGGUCCUAAGGUAGCGAAAUUCCUUGUCGGGUAAGUUCCGACCUGCACGAAUGGCAUAAUGAUGGCAGCGCUGUCUCCAGCAGAGACUCAGUGAAAUCGAAAUCGCAGUGAAGAUGCUGUGUACCCGCGGCUAGACGGAAAGACCCCGUGAACCUUUACUACAGCUUUACAUUGAACUUUGACCUAACUUGUGUAGGAUAGGUGGGAGGCUUUGAAGCAGAUACGCCAGUAUUUGUGGAGCCAACCUUGAAAUACCACCCUGGUUAUGUUGGGGUUCUAACUUAGGAUUAACAAAUCCAAGGACAAUGUAUGGUGGGUAGUUUGACUGGGGCGGUCUCCUCCUAAAGAGUAACGGAGGAGUACGAAGGUGCGCUCAGAACGGUCGGAAAUCGUUCAAAGAGUAUAAAGGCAAAAGCGCGCUUAACUGCGAGACCCACAAGUCGAGCAGGUACGAAAGUAGGUCUUAGUGAUCCGGUGGUUCUGUAUGGAAGGGCCAUCGCUCAACGGAUAAAAGGUACUCUGGGGAUAACAGGCUGAUACCGCCCAAGAGUUCAUAUCGACGGCGGUGUUUGGCACCUCGAUGUCGGCUCAUCUCAUCCUGGGGCUGAAGCAGGUCCCAAGGGUAUGGCUGUUCGCCAUUUAAAGAGGUACGCGAGCUGGGUUUAGAACGUCGUGAGACAGUUCGGUCCCUAUCUACCGUGGGCGUUGGAAAUUUGAGAGGAUCUGCUCCUAGUACGAGAGGACCAGAGUGGACGAACCUCUGGUGUUUCGGUUGUCACGCCAGUGGCAUUGCCGAGUAGCUACGUUCGGAUGGGAUAACCGCUGAAAGCAUCUAAGCGGGAAGCCCACCUCAAGAUAAGAUUUCCCUAAGAGCCGUUGUAGACUACGACGUUGAUAGGUUGGGUGUGGAAGUGUAGUGAUACAUGUAGCUAACCAAUACUAAUUGCUCGUUUGGCUUGACCAU